This 254-nucleotide ribosomal RNA is filed under the name uncultured bacterium. RNAcentral describes it as "partial 16S ribosomal RNA". It matches the Rfam family "Bacterial small subunit ribosomal RNA", at positions 524 to 776 of the family's 1533-position model. The record is from RNAcentral.
UACGGAGGGAGCGAGCGUUGUCCGAAGUUACUGGGCGUAAAGCGCGCGUAGGCGGGAAAUUAAGUGAGAAGUGAAAGGCUGGGGCUCAACCCCAUGCAGUGCUCCUCAUACUGGUUUUCUUGAGGGUGGUAGAGAGAAGUGGAAUGGCUGGUGUAGCGGUGAAAUGCGUAGAUAUCAGGAGGAACACCGGUGGCGAAGGCGGGUCUCUGGGCCGAUACUGACGCUGAGGUGCGAAAGCGUGGGGAGCAAACAGG